GGAUGUGAGGGCUAUCUGGCUGUGACAUCUUUCACCCCAUUGAUCACUAGGGUUGAUUUGGCUGAUCUGGCUGGCUAGGCGGGUGUCCCUUUCCUCCCUCACUACUUCAUGUGUGUUCCUCACAAAGCUGUGUGCUCUGUCAAAGAGGGCGACCUUCCCCAAUGAAGGAGUAUAGUUCUCUGUCAAGGGUAUACAAGUAGCUGUGCUCCCCUGCUAGAACCCCCAAACAAGCUCUCAAGGUCCAUUUAUAGGAGAACAGGGUAGUCAAAAUUCCAAGAUUCCAGACACAUCCAAAUGAGGUGCUGCAUGUGGCAGUCUGCCUUUCUUA
Panthera pardus (leopard) is the source of this 328-nucleotide unclassified non-coding RNA. Its record names the gene 7SK. It matches the Rfam family "7SK RNA". From Rfam's summary of the family: 7SK was discovered as an abundant small nuclear RNA in the mid-70s but a possible function has only recently been suggested. Two independent studies have found that 7SK RNA binds the CDK9/cyclin T complex (known as elongation factor P-TEFb). P-TEFb activates transcription by phosphorylating the C-terminal domain of RNA polymerase II. NCBI's taxonomy places the organism in Eukaryota, Metazoa, Chordata, Mammalia, Carnivora, Felidae. The record is from Ensembl.